RNAcentral lists this ribozyme (70 nucleotides) under Faecalibacterium prausnitzii. RNAcentral's name for it is "HDV ribozyme from F. prausnitzii". It matches the Rfam family "HDV ribozyme from F. prausnitzii". The record is from RNAcentral. Lineage: Bacteria; Bacillati; Bacillota; Clostridia; Eubacteriales; Oscillospiraceae.
GCUGCUCGGAAAUGCACACCGCUACGAGGUGAGCAGCAGGCAACGGUCUUAUGACUGGCUGAGAUGUGAA